RNAcentral lists this ribosomal RNA (2033 nucleotides) under Escherichia coli. RNAcentral's name for it is "bacterial LSU rRNA". It matches the Rfam family "Bacterial large subunit ribosomal RNA", at positions 890 to 2925 of the family's 2925-position model. Lineage: Bacteria; Pseudomonadati; Pseudomonadota; Gammaproteobacteria; Enterobacterales; Enterobacteriaceae. The record is from RNAcentral.
UCAUCUCCGGGGGUAGAGCACUGUUUCGGCAAGGGGGUCAUCCCGACUUACCAACCCGAUGCAAACUGCGAAUACCGGAGAAUGUUAUCACGGGAGACACACGGCGGGUGCUAACGUCCGUCGUGAAGAGGGAAACAACCCAGACCGCCAGCUAAGGUCCCAAAGUCAUGGUUAAGUGGGAAACGAUGUGGGAAGGCCCAGACAGCCAGGAUGUUGGCUUAGAAGCAGCCAUCAUUUAAAGAAAGCGUAAUAGCUCACUGGUCGAGUCGGCCUGCGCGGAAGAUGUAACGGGGCUAAACCAUGCACCGAAGCUGCGGCAGCGACGCUUAUGCGUNNNNNNNNNNCUGGAGGUAUCAGAAGUGCGAAUGCUGACAUAAGUAACGAUAAAGCGGGUGAAAAGCCCGCUCGCCGGAAGACCAAGGGUUCCUGUCCAACGUUAAUCGGGGCAGGGUGAGUCGACCCCUAAGGCGAGGCCGAAAGGCGUAGUCGAUGGGAAACAGGUUAAUAUUCCUGUACUUGGUGUUACUGCGAAGGGGGGACGGAGAAGGCUAUGUUGGCCGGGCGACGGUUGUCCCGGUUUAAGCGUGUAGGCUGGUUUUCCAGGCAAAUCCGGAAAAUCAAGGCUGAGGCGUGAUGACGAGGCACUACGGUGCUGAAGCAACAAAUGCCCUGCUUCCAGGAAAAGCCUCUAAGCAUCAGGUAACAUCAAAUCGUACCCCAAACCGACACAGGUGGUCAGGUAGAGAAUACCAAGGCGCUUGAGAGAACUCGGGUGAAGGAACUAGGCAAAAUGGUGCCGUAACUUCGGGAGAAGGCACGCUGAUAUGUAGGUGAAGUCCCUCGCGGAUGGAGCUGAAAUCAGUCGAAGAUACCAGCUGGCUGCAACUGUUUAUUAAAAACACAGCACUGUGCAAACACGAAAGUGGACGUAUACGGUGUGACGCCUGCCCGGUGCCGGAAGGUUAAUUGAUGGGGUCAGCGCAAGCGAAGCUCUUGAUCGAAGCCCCGGUAAACGGCGGCCGUAACUAUAACGGUCCUAAGGUAGCGAAAUUCCUUGUCGGGUAAGUUCCGACCUGCACGAAUGGCGUAAUGAUGGCCAGGCUGUCUCCACCCGAGACUCAGUGAAAUUGAACUCGCUGUGAAGAUGCAGUGUACCCGCGGCAAGACGGAAAGACCCCGUGAACCUUUACUAUAGCUUGACACUGAACAUUGAGCCUUGAUGUGUAGGAUAGGUGGGAGGCUUAGAAGUGUGGACGCCAGUCUGCAUGGAGCCGACCUUGAAAUACCACCCUUUAAUGUUUGAUGUUCUAACGUUGACCCGUAAUCCGGGUUGCGGACAGUGUCUGGUGGGUAGUUUGACUGGGGCGGUCUCCUCCUAAAGAGUAACGGAGGAGCACGAAGGUUGGCUAAUCCUGGUCGGACAUCAGGAGGUUAGUGCAAUGGCAUAAGCCAGCUUGACUGCGAGCGUGACGGCGCGAGCAGGUGCGAAAGCAGGUCAUAGUGAUCCGGUGGUUCUGAAUGGAAGGGCCAUCGCUCAACGGAUAAAAGGUACUCCGGGGAUAACAGGCUGAUACCGCCCAAGAGUUCAUAUCGACGGCGGUGUUUGGCACCUCGAUGUCGGCUCAUCACAUCCUGGGGCUGAAGUAGGUCCCAAGGGUAUGGCUGUUCGCCAUUUAAAGUGGUACGCGAGCUGGGUUUAGAACGUCGUGAGACAGUUCGGUCCCUAUCUGCCGUGGGCGCUGGAGAACUGAGGGGGGCUGCUCCUAGUACGAGAGGACCGGAGUGGACGCAUCACUGGUGUUCGGGUUGUCAUGCCAAUGGCACUGCCCGGUAGCUAAAUGCGGAAGAGAUAAGUGCUGAAAGCAUCUAAGCACGAAACUUGCCCCGAGAUGAGUUCUCCCUGACUCCUUGAGAGUCCUGAAGGAACGUUGAAGACGACGACGUUGAUAGGCCGGGUGUGUAAGCGCAGCGAUGCGUUGAGCUAACCGGUACUAAUGAACCGUGAGGCUUAACCUUACAACGCCGAAGCUGUU